This 447-nucleotide ribosomal RNA is filed under the name uncultured bacterium. Its description in RNAcentral is "bacterial SSU rRNA". It matches the Rfam family "Bacterial small subunit ribosomal RNA", at positions 8 to 455 of the family's 1533-position model. The record is from RNAcentral.
AGAGUUUGAUCCUGGCUCAGAUUGAACGCUGGCGGCAUGCCUUACACAUGCAAGUCGAACGGCAGCACGGAGCUUGCUCUGGUGGCGAGUGGCGAACGGGUGAGUAAUAUAUCGGAACGUACCCUAGAGUGGGGGAUAACGUAGCGAAAGUUACGCUAAUACCGCAUACGAUCUAAGGAUGAAAGUGGGGGAUUCGCAAGAACCUCAUGCUCGUGGAGCGGCCGAUAUCUGAUUAGCUAGUUGGUAGGGUAAAAGCCUACCAAGGCAUCGAUCAGUAGCUGGUCUGAGAGGACGACCAGCCACACUGGAACUGAGACACGGUCCAGACUCCUACGGGAGGCAGCAUUGGGGAAUUUUGGACAAUGGGCGAAAGCCUGAUCCAGCAAUGCCGCGUGAGUGAAGAAGGCCUUCGGGUUGUAAAGCUCUUUUGUCAGGGAAGAAACGGUG